Molecule: ribosomal RNA, 469 nt
Filed under: uncultured bacterium
Lineage: Bacteria
Description: partial 16S ribosomal RNA
Rfam family: Bacterial small subunit ribosomal RNA
Source: RNAcentral
GACGAACGCUGGCGGCGUGCUUAACACAUGCAAGUCGAACGGAAAGGCCCUGCUUGCAGGGUGCUCGAGUGGCGAACGGGUGAGUAACACGUGGGUGAUCUGCCCCUUACUUUGGGAUAAGCCUGGGAAACUGGGUCUAAUACUGGAUAGGACCAUGCUGUAGGUGGUGUGGUGGAAAGAUUAGUUUCGGUAAGGGAUGAGCUCGCGGCCUAUCAGCUUGUUGGUGGGGUAAUGGCCGACCAAGGCGUCGACGGGUAGCCGGCCUGAGAGGGUGGACGGCCCCGUUGGGACUGGGACACGGCCCAGACUCCUACGAGAGGCAGCAGUGGGGAAUAUUGCACCAUGGGCGCAAGCCGGAUGCAGCGACGCCGCGUGGGGGAUGACGGCCUUCGGGUUGUAAACUACUUUCAGCCAUGACGAAGCCCUUGUGGUGACGGUAGUGGUAGAAGAAGCACCGGCUAACUACGUG